RNAcentral lists this non-coding RNA (30 nucleotides) under Mus musculus (house mouse). The record is from RNAcentral. Lineage: Eukaryota; Metazoa; Chordata; Mammalia; Rodentia; Muridae.
UGAAGAAUGUUGGAAGCCGUGGUUUCAUGA